Molecule: ribosomal RNA, 265 nt
Filed under: uncultured Eubacteriales bacterium
Lineage: Bacteria; Bacillati; Bacillota; Clostridia; Eubacteriales
Description: uncultured Clostridiales bacterium partial 16S ribosomal RNA
Rfam family: Bacterial small subunit ribosomal RNA
Source: RNAcentral
AGCUUGCUUUUGAUGCUUAGUGGCGGACGGGUGAGUAACGCGUGAGCAACCUGCCUUUCAGAGGGGGAUAACGUUUGGAAACGAACGCUAAUACCGCAUAACAUAUUUCAGUCGCAUGAAUGAGAUAUCAAAGGAGCAAUCCGCUGAAAGAUGGGCUCGCGUCCGAUUAGCUAGUUGGCGGGAUAACAGCCCACCAAGGCGACGAUCGGUAGCCGGCCUGAGAGGGCGGACGGCCACAUUGGGACUGAGACACGGCCCAAACUCC